UGAAUGGGAUUGGAAUUGCGGUCAACUUUUUACCCAUUUCCAGCGAGCAGUCAGUGUUGCGCCGCGCUGCCGUCCACGUCGCGUUCCCGGUGUCGCUUCGUCCGAGUUGCAUGCGUUCGGCUUUCUCCGCUCGCUCGGGUGUGUUCGUGUGUUCUCUGUGACUUGCGCCCCUUUCGUACCUUUCGUCAGGUGUUUACAGCCCGCUCGGAUAUAUUCGCCGUGUGCCGAAAUGUGAUGCCCAUGUGGAUUAAUUAUGUGUGCGUAAGAUGAUCAGGAAAAGCGAUGCGGGCUGACACGGCCUCGUGGCUGGCGGCCGGCGUGGCAGGGCCGCUGGUCGGCGUCUGGCUCGGCUGGGCCGCGCUGAUCGUCUACUCGCACCGCGCGCAAUGGCGGCUCCUGGACCCGCUCCUGCUGGCCCUCCUCCUCCUGGCGCUCGCCCGGCAACUCGCCGCCGCCGCCCUCACGGCCGUCCACCUCCUCCGGCCCUCGGACGACUGGUGCUCCGCGCUCGCCUUCCUCCUAGCCGCCGCCGACGCCAUGCAGGCUGCCACCCUCGCCACCCUCGUCUUCUCCAAGUUCCUCCACCUCCGCCUCCCCCGCGACAAGUUCCGAAAGACCCUCUCCAAGUCCCACCUCAUCUACCACCUCGCCUGCCUCGUCCUCAUCAGCUCCUGCAUUGGAGUCGCCGCAGUCAUCGGCAAGACUGACCAUUGUGUCUACUAUUCUGACAAGAGGUACAUCUCCUUCUGGCUGACGCUCCACAGUACACUGAUCGUGCUCUCCUUCUGCGUGCUGAUCUACAGCAGCUGCCUCCGCGGGAGCGUGGGCACCUCCGUCUCCAACACCUACUACCAAAACCAACGGCGCCUCCUGCUCAACUCAUCCUCCGACCUCUCGUGCGCCUUGUCGGACAUCUCGAUGCUCUCAUCCAAGUCGCGGAACCGCGGCGUCAACUACUCUGUGAGCAACUGCUCCUCCAACUUGAACCGGCGGCACUGCCUCGUGGAGGAGCUCCUGCGGAAUCAGGUCUACGUGAACGGGGACUGCAAGUUCGUCUACAACACCCAGCUGAGCUGCGGCUCGGGGUCCGUGUUGAACGACAAGUUGAGCGCGUCCCAGCAGAUGCUCACCGAGGAGCUGAGGGUCCCGGAGGAAGCGAGGUUGAUGGAGGACUCGGCGAGCUGCGCUGCGCUCCAUGACUGCCAUCUCUCGACGACGACCACCUCCCCCUCGUCGACCAACAGUCGGGCGCCGGUCCUAGCGGCCAAACAUCGACGGCCUGACCUGGAGGUCCAACUCAUCACCGUCGCGGCUGUCUCAGUUCUCUGCUUCUUCACCAGUCAUCUUCCUGUCAUGGCGGUAGCGUUCAUGGAGGUGAUCUUGCAGCAGUCGUUGGGACUACCUUGGUCAUCGGAGAACUUUCCGAUCUGGGCGUCCCUUGUCGAGGGCUGUCUUCUCCCGGUCGUUCUUCUCAUAUUCGACGACCAAUUCCCGGCCCGCAUCGCUCACAUCUACAAGCGACGCUCUCCAGCCGAUGUCGCCGGAAAACCACCCCAAGGGCUGUACGGAAAGUUCAGGCCAUUCAAUAACAGUUCAAUGAUGGAGUCGAGGCGGACGACGAUGGAGCCAGUGAGAUUCCCAAUCACGAACGGGUCUUUGUUCACAAGUUUGGACGGCCGCAUACCUAUUGUCCACAACUACAGACGAGGAAAGUGCAUCACGAGAAGUACGAGCGGUAUGCUGAGCAACAAGUUCUCCGGGAUCAGUGAACACGGUGGCUCACUGCUCAUCUCGAACAUGGUGUCGGUGGGGAGCUCGAUGGAACGGAAGCCGCCCCUCGCCGUCGACCCCGGCGAGAAGCCCGAGCAGGACGGGCACCCUCACUCGCACCAGCCCACGCCCGAGCGAGGCGCCCACUCGCCCGAGGGCGCCUGCGGAGGCGCCGAUCGGGACCGGGACGCCCUCCCACAAACAGUCAAGCAACUCCGCGAGAAGCUCUUCCUCAAGGACCACAAGGACUUCUACGAUUCCUCCGACGAGGAGCCCGUAUACGCGACGCUCUCUUCGCAGAGCAUCUGCUCAGCAACGACAGCAGCAAACGACGACUUCGAGUUCUUCCAGCACGACUCGAAGGAGGUGGAGCGAGCCAGCGGCGCGAGCAUAGCGUCGGAGCCGCCGUUCAGCGCCCCGGAGCCGCCGGCCGCCGUCGCCGAGGAGUCGAGGGAUGCGCGGAGUGUAAAUAGUGAUAGUCAUAGUCGUAGGAGUAAGGAGCGCGAGCGAGGGCGGGAGAGCCCGGCGGCCGGGCGACACCGGAAGGCGGCGGCCGCCCGGAGGACGGCCGAGCCGCGCUGGAGGGGCCACGCCCUGAGGGACUCGCAGCGGCACCGCCGGAGCAGGAGCCGGGAGGCCGCCCGCCGCCAGAAGAGCCGCCGCUCGCCCAUCGUCAAGCGGCGCCCCGUCACCGCCGCCCACUGGAGGCCGGCCAGCUCCAGGCCCGAGCACCCCGGAUACAACCACCAGGUGAGCUAUCACCCCUGGUAAAACUGAUCACCUAAAAAAAAGGUGGCAUCGCCAAAAAAUAUUGGUGACAUCGCCUAAAAGGUAGGUGACACCACCCAGAAGGUAGGUGAUGUCACCUAGAAGGUAGGUGGCAUCGCCGAGACGGUAGGUGACAUCACCUAGAAGGUAUAGGUGACGUCACCUAGAAGGUAGGUGACGUCACCUAGAAGGUAGGUGACAUCGCCUGGAAGGUAGGUGACAUCACCUGGAAGCUAGGUGACAUCACACAGGUCGUAUACUACGCACUCGGUUAGCAGGGUUAAGUGAAAGGAAAGCAAGUGAUAUGGACUUAGAGAGGAUAGAAAUGUUAAUGUUCUCUUACUCCAUAAAAAAUAUUCUCUACUCACAAACUAAAAGCUAAUUGUUGACAUUGGUAGACAUAGCUAUUGACGAAGGAGACAAAAGGAAUAUAGAAGGAUCCCAUUGGUGCAAGCGGCUAGUUGCGAUGGAUAAAGAACGCAGGUGAUAAACUAACUAACGGCAACCCACGAGAAACUCAAUGUUUAAGUAGUCCAUCAUUUGCCCCCUCAGUGUAAGAACCACUCAUUUCAACCAAUAGGAUCGCCCCAUACUUCCUAUGUUCUCUUUGUCUAUCGCUUUGUCUAUCAGUUUCAACAAUCAGCCAGCUGGAGUCUGCAAAGAGACUCAUCGAUCAUCCCGACUUAGGUCCCUGCCCAUUAAGGGUUGGAAAAGGCAACAAUAAGCUUUUUCGAAGCCUCUAGUUUGCAAGAGAAAAGAGCCUAAUUGUUAAAUUUAAAAAAAAAAACAAACAAAUUAAGUGAAACAGAAUACUGUUAGGGGCCCAUUCGAGAUGAUUCAUAGAAAAUCAGUUGAAUAAACCCAGGAUGCCUAGGUGAAACACUCGACUUGCAAUUUAUGAGGGAUGAUCUUAUCGAAGUCGAGGGCGUAAUGAAGGUCACUUUCGUCACGGUGCGAGUCCACCUUUAUACCAAGUCAAAUCCUCAAUAGACUCCUGUCUGCAUUUGUUCCAAUCGCCAAUUCCGGUUAAAUCCACGAUAAAACGAAGCACUAUGAAAAAGAAGUUCCCCCGUCCACAUUUUCUACUCCUGCGUUAAAGUCUUCGAGUCAGCAGAAGAGAGACGAUGGUCCUUCAUUUCGUAAAUAUGUAAUUUUAUUUACAUAGAAGUUGAACUAAAGCUAACCCUAUCCAUUAGAAAUAGUGGAUGGGAGGGGGUUCAAAAAAUUCCGCCUCGCACUUUCUCAAAUUCCUUGACUUCUCCCUUCUCCCGCAUCAAGUACCGUUUCGCCCUUUCGCCAGGCAGUCCUAAGCCAUCUCUUAGUAUCUCAAAGUCUGGUGCGCAGGCUACUCGAUUGAAAAGGAGCCCUCUAACCCAGAAAUUUUUGAUUUCAGAGGCCAAGCCAGGAGCCCUGCCGGAUGAAGUCGACGUCCUUAAGCGUCCUCAACGAGCACGACCGAACCCUGUCCAGCGAGGAGGGCGCCCGCUCCAGCCCGCACCCCCAAGCCCACCCUCACGCCCACCCGCACUCCAAGCCGGCCUACCACCGCUACCACCCGGGUGGGCGCCGCGUCCGGAUGCGUCACGGACACAGCCACGGCCACCACCCUCGCGAGUUCCCUCCCACCCCGCCCACGCCACGCCGCCUCGCGCCCAUCCUGUCCGUCGACUCCCUCGUGUCGGCGCUCAACGACACCGGCGUGUCUUACCUGGACAACGGCGAGGUCUUCAUCCACCCUAAUAGCAGCAGCGUGCCGGACCUCAAGAAGAUCUUCAUCACGGAUUUCCUGUAGAGAAGCCCCAUCACUGAAGUGAUGUCAAUCAUUGUCUGUCCAGAGGGCUGAUUUUUGAAGUUGAUAGACAAAGCAAUAGACAAAGAAGACAUACUGAAAUAAGCGAUCCUAUUAUUGGUGAAAGUGUGUGGUUGCAAUGGACAAAAGAGUUAAGAGUAUUAGAUUAACUAACGGCAACUCACGAGAGACUCUAUCGUUGGUCCAUCAUUGUCCAUCUUGGUCCAUAACAUCCACCCGUUUCAACCAAUAGGAUUUCUCCAUGUUCCCUAUGCCUUCUCUAUCUAUAGCUUUGUCUAUCAAUUCAAUGAUCAACCCGCAGGGCUAGAGACAAGUCGACUGAAUCCUCCAAGGGAGAAACAAUUUCAGAUGACUGAAACUGUAUUCAGAAAAAACCUCUCGGACACUUUUGAGUCAAGUUCAGCUGAAAGUACGAGUAUCGUGCCAAGAUUAGGUGGUACAGGUGUUUCUCUGAAUGCAACCCUCGUUGCAAUGAAUGUUGAGUAGCUUUUUCAAGAUAAAUUUCAAAAAUGCUGAUAAUUUGUCCGUAAUUUUUAACUGCCUUUUAUAGAGACUUUGUCAUUUAAGAGCAAUAAUUGUUUAUAGUCACUGCUGUGAGAGUAGUGUGAUAUGAAUUAAAGUGGAACUGUCACAAUAUUUAACGAUGAGAAGACGAGUUUCAUCGUAGCUCUCUUCUGCGACGAUUUUUUCCCCCGCUCUGUUAAAUUUUUUUGCCGCCAUGAAGGACCAAGGGAGAUUUUUAUUCUGAAAAGUUUGUGUAAACACAACUGAACAUCAUUUAUUACUUAGUGGUGGAGGCAUUCACUUCUACCUCGAGGGCAACUUUUAGCAAAGCUCAUACUAAUAUUUGCAUCCCCGGUUGGCUUAGUACUAUCCAAUUGGAGGGAGUUUAAUGUCUAUGUCAUAAGUUUCAUUAAAUUACAGUAGUUUGUAUGACAGUGAAGAAUCAUCUUGAUAAAGCAUCUAUAUUUAUAGAGUCAUUUAACGUACCUGAGUACUUCUGAGUAAAGUUUAAGAGAUUAACCUUUUUUGUGCAACGACUGAAGAGCUAACCAGCACGCCUAACAUAUUAAACAGAUGAUGUUUAAAGGAAUUUGCUUGGGUUAUGCUGUUUUAGAUGAUGGUGGUUAUGGGACGUAGUUGCAAAAAGCAAGGGAGAUUCUAAUAAAUGAGAAAUCACAAAUUUUUUUAUUAAAUAAAAUUUUGGAAGGAAAUAUAGGUACUUCAUUUAUUUAUUUAUGUAAUGAAAAGUAUUAUUUUUGUCUCAGUUUGAGUACACAGGCUAAGAAUAAAAAACGAAAACAAACACUUUUCAAAUCUUAUUGUCAUAGUGUUAAUUGCUAAAAUAUUUUUUCAUCAAAUACCAAAUAAUUCCUUUGGUUGUGAUAAAGAAAAACUCGUGUAAAGCUUCUUGUGUGUGUAAAAUGCAUAAUUAUCGUGGAUAUGAAAUCUGUGUUAGUCUUUUAAAAAAUACACAUUUUCCUUAUAAGCCUGAAGCAAAAGUUCUUGCAAGGUAUGAUUUAGAAAGUACUUUCUUAAAGAAUUUAAUUGGAAGGAUUUUCUUGAAGGAAAAAAGUUAACAGUUAUAUUAUCUACACCGAUAGAUGCUGGGGAAAAAGUUCAUCACCCUUGUGAAUUAUGUCACCCAGUAAAUAGGCGUGUGCCUAUAUAUAGAAAUAGAAAAAGAAUCUAUUCUCAGGAGAGAAAAAUUUAUAUUUCUCAUCUAAGCUUUAAGUUUGGGUCAAAAUUAAACUUCGUCUCAACUCGCCAAAUAAUUCAUCUAGUCUUUUGAGAAUCGUCUCUAAGAAGUCCUUGCUGAGCUAAAUGCUCGCAAAAAGAGGUCACUUUUUUGUUUAUUGUAGAAAAGCUCAUGAAAAGUCUCGCCAUUUCCCCCCUUUUUUUAAGAAAAGCCUUAAAAAGCGUAGACUGAAUUUACAAGAUGAACACUUAUAUGUAAAACUCCUUCUGAAUUCAUUCAUUAUCUUACUCUGAUAAAUGCACCGACGAAAAGUAAAACAUUACAACAAAACAUCACUUUUUUGUAGCAUUUCACCUCUCUACAAUCUCGUUAGUCGUCACAUAUGUAAGAGGCGAUUCAAUCCACAUACUAAAUGACUUUUAAAGGACUAUGUUAGCCCUUAAUAUUUUGUUUGUACAGUUAACGUAGGCUCGUGUAAUUAAUUAUUAUCAAACUACUUAAAGUAAGUUAAGAUUAAGACUGUAUUCUUUGAAAGCCAAAAUAUACUAUACUUAAAAACAAU
RNAcentral lists this long non-coding RNA (6609 nucleotides) under Bemisia tabaci. Its description in RNAcentral is "lncRNA ENSASIAIIG009209". Lineage: Eukaryota; Metazoa; Arthropoda; Insecta; Hemiptera; Aleyrodidae. The record is from RNAcentral.